Molecule: ribosomal RNA, 774 nt
Filed under: uncultured Neocallimastigales
Lineage: Eukaryota; Fungi; Neocallimastigomycota; Neocallimastigomycetes; Neocallimastigales
Description: partial large subunit ribosomal RNA
Rfam family: Eukaryotic large subunit ribosomal RNA
Source: RNAcentral
AUAGAGACUCAGAGCUGCAUAUCAAUAAGCGGAGGAAAAGAAACUAACAAGGAUUCCCUUAGUAACGGCGAGUGAAGCGGGAAGAGCUCAAAUUUGAAAUCUUCAAGGUUCUACCUUGACGAAUUGUAGUUUAAAGAAGUGUUUUCUGUUGAAGUUUUCGGUAAAAGUUCUUUGGAAUAGGACAUCAUAGAGGGUGAGAAUCCCGUAUUUGACCAUUAUUUCCAGCUUUGUGAUACACUUUCAAAGAGUCGGAUUGUUUGGGAAUGCAGUCCAAAAUGGGUGGUAAAUUUCAUCUAAAGCUAAAUACUGGCGAGAGACCGAUAGCGAACAAGUACCGUGAGGGAAAGAUGAAAAGAACUUUGAAAAGAGAGUUAAACAGUACGUGAAAUUGUCAAAAGGGAAGCGUUUGACACCAGUGUUGUUUUCUCGAAAAUCAAUUAAAAAAGGCCGGAUUUUGUGUUGUAUUGACUUUAUCAGCUUUCUGCACUUUUUCUUGUCUUUUUUAAUGCACUUUUCGUUUAACAAGUCAACAUCAAUUUCUUUUGUUGUAAGAGGGUCAUUGGAAGGUGGCUUUCUUUUCGGAGAAAGUGUUUAUAGCCUUUGGCCUCUGCAAUCGGAAAGAUUGAGGUCUGCAGCGUAGAUCCUUCGGGGUUAGAUACAUUUGUGCUAAGUUAUAGCCUUUCAUAGACAACUUGUUGACUAUGAUCAGUCAUGUAGCUUACUCGCUUAUGCUAUUUUACCUACGCUUAGGAUGUUGACGAUCAGCUGAGCGCG